This 486-nucleotide ribosomal RNA is filed under the name uncultured bacterium. RNAcentral's name for it is "partial 16S ribosomal RNA". It matches the Rfam family "Bacterial small subunit ribosomal RNA", at positions 29 to 507 of the family's 1533-position model. The record is from RNAcentral.
AUUGAACGCUGGCGGCAUGCCUUACAAAGGAAAGUCGAACGGCAGCACGGGUGCUUGACCCUGGUGGCGAGUGGCGAACGGGUGAGUAAUACAUCGGAACAUGUCCGGUGGUGGGGGAUAGCCCGGCGAAAGCGGGAUUAAUACCGCAUACGAUCUCCGGUGGAAAGCGGGGGACCUUGGGGCCUCGCGCUAUAGGGUUGGCCGAUGGCUGAUUAGCUAGUUGGUGGGGUAAAGGCCUACCAAGGCGACGAUCAGUAGCUGGUCUGAGAGGACGACCAGCCACACUGGGACUGAGACACGGCCCAGACUCCUACGGGAGGCAGCAGUGGGGAAUUUUGGACAAUGGGCGAAAGCCUGAUCCAGCAAUGCCGCGUGUGUGAAGAAGGCCUUCGGGUUGUAAAGCACUUUUGUCCGGAAAGAAAUCCUUGGCCCUAAUACGGUCGGGGGAUGACGGUACCGGAAGAAUAAGCACCGGCUAACUACGUG